GGCGGGCGGCGGCGUUGGCAGGACUGGGCAGGCCUGUGUUGUGUGCGGGGCCUGGAUCCUUUUUUGGGUGGCGUUCCCGAUAUGAGUGCGUAUCCGGACAGUGGGGCGCCUCUCAAACUCGGGCCCCGGCGGCGUCCAGGGGUGCGGAGGAAUGCGUUACUGUCCCCGCUUAUGACUCCUGCCGUGGGGCCACAGCAGUUGGGGCCACGGCUUAUCCAUCAUUGCAAAGAUCUCUCCGAGAGAAAUGAAACAAGUCAGCUCUGCCCAGAGGGGGAGAAAGCUGAACGGCGCAUGGGGCCGCCCGUCCCAGGACCUUCUUGGCUUGGCUCCCGUGGAAGGGCGUGGGCUCCUUCGUCUGAAAACUGCCAAGGGAAUGCAGCCACACGGCUUAAGAGAAAUGGCGCAUCCCUGUGGUUUGGUGUCCAAGUGGACCAUUCAGGACGCUCAACUCAGAGUCCUUCCCAAACUUUGUCCAGCUCCAAGACCAACAGGGGGCUUCCACCGCAGAGGUCCAGACACCUGCACAGAUGUGUCCCUGCUGGGGGGAGGGGGUGGUGGUGAAGGUGGAAACACCAUUUCUAAGCAGCUCCUUAGAAGUGAACAAAUUCUGGUACCUCCGCAUUGUCUCGGGAACCUGCCUCUUUCCUGCCGUCUGUGCUCCCAUCCUCCCAGUGGGGGGGCUGUGGAUUCUCCAACAGGCCCAGGUAGAAUUCUGAGGUCAUCGGAGUCCCUCCUUCAAGCCUCAGUUCUAUCAGUAUCAAACUUCUGGGGAGACUUCAGGGGAAGCAGCAAGUUUGAGCCAAGAACGCAGAAUUGGAAUUCUCUGAUAAAUCCCUCCCAGCUGAGCCGGGAGGGUCUGUAGUUGGCUCAGCAAGCAGGGACGGCAGGAAGGGGCUGGUGCUGGGAAACUUCAAACAGACCUGGGGUGGCGGGGAGGCUGUGCUGAGGGGAGGAGGCCACCGACAGAGGGCUCAGUUAAUUAAAGAGAUGCGUGGGCACACCUAUAGGCUCAGCCCUCUAGGUGUUAAAGCGCCAGCAACUCAAGUUCUGUGCAGGGACUCCCUCCCCCUAGGGGGAGGCCUGGAAGCGGGGGAAGCCUCGAGCCACAUUUAGGAUGGACAUUUGCGGUCUUCUGGAAAGCCCCAGCCAGGGGUCCUUGGCCCUUCCACCAAGAGUUCCAAGGGAACCGAGACUGUUUAAAAGCCUCCUUAAGCAUCAAGGGGUCUCCUGUGUUGCAGGCACUGGGCUGGGCACAUCACCUGGGAGAGGUAGGGGUCAUCAUAUCUCCCAUUUUACAGAUGAGGGAAGUAAGGCUCAGAAGUCACCAGCUCAAGUGCCUAUGGCUGGUGUGUGGGAGAGGCCCGGCUGGAGCUAGGAUUCUCUGACUUAUGCCACUGGCUGGAGCUGGGGACAGGACAGAGACCAGCAAAGGACAGGUGACGGCUGCUUCCAUCUGGCCCUCACCUUGGCCUGCCCCUCACACUGUCCUUGACAUUCAAUCAGGUGCCAGUGAUGUCGGCCCAGAGGUUGGGGCUGGGCCUCCCCAGCUUCCCAGCGACAAAUGGUUCUCAUUUGAAAGGGAGGUUAUAAAAACACAUGCCCAGAGACACUGUCAGGGAACUGAGGAUUAAUCUCAUUUCAGUCAAAGACCAUUUCAAAUAUUUUGGGGGUGGAAUGGGGCGGGCAGCAGCCUGGGUUGGGAAGGAA
Molecule: long non-coding RNA, 1707 nt
Filed under: Equus asinus (donkey)
Lineage: Eukaryota; Metazoa; Chordata; Mammalia; Perissodactyla; Equidae
Description: lncRNA (ENSEASG00005024971.1)
Source: RNAcentral